Molecule: long non-coding RNA, 524 nt
Organism: Sceloporus undulatus (fence lizard)
Lineage: Eukaryota; Metazoa; Chordata; Lepidosauria; Squamata; Phrynosomatidae
Exons: 3
Source: RefSeq, a predicted model, not a curated record
AAGGAGAGUCCACAGGCUGGAGUCCUGGACAACCAGCGAAGGAGACCUCUUUUUGGAGAACAUCGCUGAGCAACCAAGGACUGCCAUUUGGCCGGAGACAAGUGCUGGACCACCGCCUAACCCCCCAUCUCUGGCACUGGUGGCCAAAGCGCAAGCGGAAGUUGCCAAGCGCAUGGGGAGCCUGGAGAGAGACUUUGACAGCCUGCAACCAAGCCACUGCACCACAUGAACAUACUUACUACGUUUCCUAUAGGUAGCAGGUUGUAAGAAUACCACAAGAAGAGAUGUUCGAGCACCUGUCAAGGAUGUUCAGGGAAGGAGCCCGGGGAGAUGCCUGGCGUGUGAUUUCUAUGCGCCAGGAGAAAGUGAAGAGCGCCUUUGCAAAACACCAAGCCGCCUAUAAGUAGACACCAUUAAAAUCCUUAUUGCUUUUUGCAAGGUUUGCAAGUUAUCUAACAAAAACUUGAAGGUAUAUAUAUGUAGAUAAGCACCUUCCUUAGAAAGAAUUAUGUAAGCUAUGUGCA